This 1098-nucleotide unclassified non-coding RNA is filed under the name Hevea brasiliensis (rubber tree). Lineage: Eukaryota; Viridiplantae; Streptophyta; Magnoliopsida; Malpighiales; Euphorbiaceae. The record is from RNAcentral.
UGGAGAAAGAGUUAACGAUCCGGUGUUCAACAACUCUUUCGAUGUUUCGAAUCUUCCUUUCGUCGUGAAGGAACAAUCCAACAAAGAUAAAUCAAUGCUUGAGGAAGUAGCUUCAAUGAUUUUUGUAGCUUAUCCGUUCACAAAGUUGUUUGUGCCUUAACAGCAUCAGGAACUACUCGCUUCCGUUGCCACAAUUCACAACCUCACGUAAGACAGCUUUUCGCUAUUUCUGUUGGGACCUCAUGAGACAGAAUUUAAACGUUUACAAUGAACCCUAACUUAAAAUGUGGGGAAGGGAAAGCUGAUUUGAUUUCGAUCAUCAUUUCAAGCUUUUGAAAUAAAAUCCACAGCGGUUAAAUGUCCCAACUCCCAAUCCACUACAGCAAGCCAGUAUCUUCCAUUAGGAAAACACCCAGUAAAGUUGCACCACGUCACUGAAAUCGUUAUGAUUCCUAGGAACCAGGUGCAAAAACCACACUGAAUCAUCACUAGUGCAAAUAAAAAUCAUUAGCAGAUGAAAUGAAUGGGAAAAAACAAUCUACUAAUUUGGUUUGAACUUUAGAGAGCAGUAAAAAAUGGACGCAGUGAUGCAGAUUUGACAUUAACAGCAGUCAAAAUUGAAGGGGGUGGGGUGGUGCAGGAACCCUAUUCCCAAUCCCUGAAAUAAAUGUCACAUUCACCAGAUAGAACCUCAAGUCCUAAACCUAAACCGAACCCUAAUCCCAGUCCAAGGCAACCUACAUCUUCAAAACGGAGGAAAACUCUAAGCUUACCAGACGCAUGGUUUAAUGACCAAUCGCUGAAGCAUGCGACUUUGAAGAUGCAUCUCAGAUCUCUCUCUGCUACCCCAUCAGCAUCCCCUCCUUCUGACACUGACUUUUCAUUAUUAACAGGAUUUCAAUCUCUAACACUGGACCCUCCUGGGCCCGAUUACACCUCCCUCCUCUCCGAUGAGCUCCUCCUCCAAAUUUUCUCCAGGCUUCCAAUCUCUCAUCAUGUCUCAAAUUCUCUCGUCUGCAAGCGCUGGUUUUAUCUUCAUGGUCGCUUGGUACAAUCCCUCAAGCUCAUCGACUGGUCCUUUCUUAAUUCGGGUCGGAU